UGUGAUUCGAUCACAUAUUAAAUUUCAGUAUAAAAUUCAGUAUGUGCUCAAUUUUAGCAUAUGAAGUAGAUCUUUGUGUUCUUUAUUUUAUGCAUGCAUGAUUUAAAUUAAAAGAUAUUUUAAUUUUUAUUUUAUUAUAUUAUUUUAAAAAAAAUUGAAACACACAUGCAUGUCUAGACACGAAAUUCCAAUAAGUGGUUCCCCC
Molecule: long non-coding RNA, 205 nt
Filed under: Elaeis guineensis (African oil palm)
Lineage: Eukaryota; Viridiplantae; Streptophyta; Magnoliopsida; Arecales; Arecaceae
Description: long non-coding RNA (EGUI_LNC008735)
Source: RNAcentral